AUACGUAGGUGACAAGCGUUAUCCGGAUUUACUGGGCGUAAAGGGCGUGUAGGCGGUCUUGCAAGUCAGAAGUGAAAUUCCUGAGCUCAACUCGGGCGCUGCUUCUGAAACUGCAGGACUAGAGUGCUGGAGGGGAUAGCGGAAUUCCUAGUGGAGCGGUAAAAUGCGCAGAUAUUAGGAAGAACACCGGUGGCGAAGGCGGCUAUCUGGACAGUAACUGACGCUGAGGCGCGAAAGCGUGGGGAGCAAACAGGAUUAGAUACCCUGGUAGUCCACGCCGUAAACGAUGGAUACUAGGUGUAGGAGGUAUCGACCCCUUCUGUGCCGGAGUUAACACAAUAAGUAUCCCACCUGGGGAGUACGACCGCAAGGUUGAAACUUAAAGGAAUUGACGGG
RNAcentral lists this ribosomal RNA (396 nucleotides) under uncultured bacterium. Its description in RNAcentral is "partial 16S ribosomal RNA". It matches the Rfam family "Bacterial small subunit ribosomal RNA", at positions 523 to 917 of the family's 1533-position model. The record is from RNAcentral.